This 428-nucleotide ribosomal RNA is filed under the name uncultured bacterium. RNAcentral describes it as "bacterial SSU rRNA". It matches the Rfam family "Bacterial small subunit ribosomal RNA", at positions 355 to 776 of the family's 1533-position model. RNAcentral also lists the same sequence under 1 other name. The record is from RNAcentral.
UUAGGAAUAUUCGUCAAUGGAGGAAACUCUGAACGAGCAAUGCCGCGUGAGUGAUGAAGGUCUUUGGAUUGUAAAACUCUGUUGUAUGGAAAAAAAUGCUAGGUUAGGAAAUGAACUUAGUUUGAUGGUACCAUACCAGAAAGCCCCGGCUAACUACGUGCCAGCAGCCGCGGUAAUACGUAGGGGGCGAGCGUUAUCCGAAUUUAUUGGGCGUAAAGCGUGUGUAGGCGGUUUGUUAAGUUUAAGAUUAAAGCCCGGGGCUCAACUCCGGUUCGUCUUAAAAACUGGCAGACUUGAGUGUGGUAGAGGUAAAUGGAAUUUCUAGUGUAGCGGUGGAAUGCGUAGAUAUUAGAAGGAACACCAGUGGCGAAGGCGAUUUACUGGGCCAUUACUGACGCUGAGACACGAAAGCGUGGGGAGCAAAUAGG